AGCAGCCGCCGCGGGAAUACAGAGGGUGCGAGCGUUAAUCGGAUUUACUGGGCGUAAAGCGUGCGUAGGCGGCUUUUUAAGUCGGAUGUGAAAUCCCUGAGCUUAACUUAGGAAUUGCAUUCGAUACUGGGAAGCUAGAGUAUGGGAGAGGAUGGUAGAAUUCCAGGUGUAGCGGUGAAAUGCGUAGAGAUCGGGAGGAACAUCAGUGGCGAAGGCGGCCAUCUGGGACAACACUGACGCUGAGGCACGAAAGCGUGGGGAGCAAACAGGAUUAGAUACCCCAGUAGUCCCUGUCUCUUAUAC
Molecule: ribosomal RNA, 303 nt
Filed under: uncultured bacterium
Lineage: Bacteria
Description: partial 16S ribosomal RNA
Rfam family: Bacterial small subunit ribosomal RNA
Source: RNAcentral